This 708-nucleotide ribosomal RNA is filed under the name uncultured bacterium. Its description in RNAcentral is "bacterial SSU rRNA". It matches the Rfam family "Bacterial small subunit ribosomal RNA", at positions 54 to 778 of the family's 1533-position model. The record is from RNAcentral.
CAUGCAAGUCGAACGGUGAAGAGGAGCUUGCUCCUCGGAACAGUGGCGGACGGGUGAGUAACACGUGAGCAACCUGGCUCUAAGAGGGGGACAACAGUUGGAAACGACUGCUAAUACCGCAUAACGUAUCGGGAUGGCAUCUUCCUGAUACCAAAGAUUUUAUCGCUUAGAGACGGGCUCGCGUCUGAUUAGAUAGUUGGCGGGGUAACGGCCCACCAAGUCGACGAUCAGUAGCCGGACUGAGAGGUUGAACGGCCACAUUGGGACUGAGACACGGCCCAGACUCCUACGGGAGGCAGCAGUGGGGGAUAUUGGACAAUGGGGGCAACCCUGAUCCAGCGACGCCGCGUGAGGGAAGAAGGUUUUCGGAUUGUAAACCUCUGUUGACGGAGAAAAAAAUGAUGGUAUCCGUUUAGAAAGCCACGGCUAACUACGUGCCAGCAGCCGCGGUAAUACGUAGGUGGCAAGCGUUGUCCGGAAUUACUGGGUGUAAAGGGAGUGUAGGCGGGAUAUCAAGUCAGAAGUGAAAAUUACGGGCUCAACUCGUAACCUGCUUUUGAAACUGACAUUCUUGAGUGAAGUAGAGGCAAGCGGAAUUCCUAGUGUAGCGGUGAAAUGCGUAGAUAUUAGGAGGAACACCAGUGGCGAAGGCGGCUUGCUGGGCUUUUACUGACGCUGAGGCUCGAAAGCGUGGGGAGCAAACAGGAU